RNAcentral lists this ribosomal RNA (808 nucleotides) under Mycolicibacterium gilvum. Its description in RNAcentral is "bacterial SSU rRNA". It matches the Rfam family "Bacterial small subunit ribosomal RNA", at positions 57 to 880 of the family's 1533-position model. The record is from RNAcentral. Lineage: Bacteria; Bacillati; Actinomycetota; Actinomycetes; Mycobacteriales; Mycobacteriaceae.
GCAAGUCGAACGGAAAGGCCCUUCGGGGUACUCGAGUGGCGAACGGGUGAGUAACACGUGGGUGAUCUGCCCUGCACUUUGGGAUAAGCCUGGGAAACUGGGUCUAAUACCGAAUAGGACCGCAUGCUUCAUGGUGUGUGGUGGAAAGCUUUUGCGGUGUGGGAUGGGCCCGCGGCCUAUCAGCUUGUUGGUGAGGUAAUGGCUUACCAAGGCGACGACGGGUAGCCGGCCUGAGAGGGUGACCGGCCACACUGGGACUGAGAUACGGCCCAGACUCCUACGGGAGGCAGCAGUGGGGAAUAUUGCACAAUGGGCGCAAGCCUGAUGCAGCGACGCCGCGUGAGGGAUGACGGCCUUCGGGUUGUAAACCUCUUUCGCCAGGGACGAAGCGCAAGUGACGGUACCUGGAGAAGAAGGACCGGCCAACUACGUGCCAGCAGCCGCGGUAAUACGUAGGGUCCGAGCGUUGUCCGGAAUUACUGGGCGUAAAGAGCUCGUAGGUGGUUUGUCGCGUUGUUCGUGAAAACUCACAGCUUAACUGUGGGCGUGCGGGCGAUACGGGCAGACUUGAGUACUGCAGGGGAGACUGGAAUUCCUGGUGUAGCGGUGGAAUGCGCAGAUAUCAGGAGGAACACCGGUGGCGAAGGCGGGUCUCUGGGCAGUAACUGACGCUGAGGAGCGAAAGCGUGGGGAGCGAACAGGAUUAGAUACCCUGGUAGUCCACGCCGUAAACGGUGGGUACUAGGUGUGGGUUUCCUUCCUUGGGAUCCGUGCCGUAGCUAACGCAUUAAGUACCCCGCCUGGGGAG